RNAcentral lists this ribosomal RNA (252 nucleotides) under uncultured bacterium. RNAcentral describes it as "partial 16S ribosomal RNA". It matches the Rfam family "Bacterial small subunit ribosomal RNA", at positions 524 to 776 of the family's 1533-position model. The record is from RNAcentral.
UACGAAGGGUGCAAGCGUUACUCGGAAUUACUGGGCGUAAAGGGUGCGUAGGUGGUCGUUUAAGUCCGUUGUGAAAUCCCUGGGCUCAACCUGGGAAUGGCAGUGGAUACUGGACGGCUAGAAUGCGGUAGAGGGUAGUGGAAUUCCCGGUGUAGCAGUGAAAUGCGUAGAUAUCGUAAGGAAGACCAGUGGCGAAGGCGGGUCUCUGGACAGUUCCUGACGCUGAGGCACGAAGGUCAGGGAGCAAACGGG